GAAGCUGGAGGAAGCAAAGGUGAAUGGAAUACACAGCAGGAGAGGCCUGCCCGGAAGCCAGGAGGGCCCAGAGCUUCAAGUCCUAGAGACAAGAGUGAGGACAAGAGAGGUGUGGGUUUUGCAAGACAGACGCAGGAAGCAGGUACAGAGGGAGAUAUUGUCUAUCUAGAUACAAAGGCACUGAACAGUGCCAAGGACACGUGAAGAACACCCACAGCCUGAGAGGGAAGGACCAGUUUGUCUUUAUCUUCCUACAGCCAUUUACUUUCUUCAUGCAAGAACAUCCAUAUUCCAGCUUGCUUGCUGCCUGCUCUGCCACUCCAUCUGCCACCAGCAUCUUCGCAGUGUCGCCAAGCUCUCAUCUGGCUUCCUGAGCAGCUCCGUCAGCAUUGCGGCCGUGACAGCACACAGGGACCGGCAGAAGACAAUCACCACAGCAAAGCCUGGACUGCAGCUGUUCUGCACAAACCUCUAGGUUUCAGAAUCUGAAAGGAAAAGGAGAACCUGAUAGAAAUCCUGAACUCAUGAAGAUGAACUAUCAUAAAGGAACGAAAACAGAAUUUUAGAAUAAGUGCUUAAUUGUGAAUUUCCAUAUAUAAAAUUCCACGAUAGUUAGAGUGCACGAUCAAAACAAUUGUGCACGUUCAGUAGUGAAUUGCUGAGUGAUAAUUUGCAUUAAUGGUGCCCUCACAUUAACCAAUUCAAGCAAAC
This 711-nucleotide long non-coding RNA is filed under the name Equus caballus (horse). RNAcentral describes it as "lncRNA (ENSECAG00000050113.1)". Lineage: Eukaryota; Metazoa; Chordata; Mammalia; Perissodactyla; Equidae. The record is from RNAcentral.